GAACAACGCUGGCGGCGUGCCUAAUGCAUGCAAGUCGAACGGGAGCCCCUUCGGGGGUCGACCGUGGCGGACGGGUGAGGAACACGUGGGCAACUCAUCCACGCGCGGGGGAUAACGGCGGGAAACCGUCGGUAAUACCCCAUGAGCUUCUUGAUUGUUGGGAUGAAGAAGCAAAGGUGCGACACCGUGCGUGGCGGGGCCUGCGGCCUAUCAGCUAGCUGGGGGGUAGUGCCCACCAAGGCGAUGACGGGUAGCUGGUCUGAGAGGACGAUCAGCCACACGGGGACUGAGACACCGGCCCCGACUCCUACGGGAGGCAGCAGCAAGGAAUUUCCGCAAUGGCGCAAGCCUGACGGAGCGACGCCGCGUGG
Molecule: ribosomal RNA, 371 nt
Filed under: uncultured bacterium
Lineage: Bacteria
Description: bacterial SSU rRNA
Rfam family: Bacterial small subunit ribosomal RNA
Source: RNAcentral